CAGUAGCCGCGGGAAUACGGAGGGCGCGAGCGUUACCCGGAUUUACUGGGCGUAAAGGGCGUGUAGGCGGCCUGGGGCGUCCCAUGUGAAAGGCCACGGCUCAACCGUGGAGGAGCGUGGGAUACGCUCAGGCUAGAGGGUGGGAGAGGGUGGUGGAAUUCCCGGAGUAGCGGUGAAAUGCGCAGAUACCGGGAGGAACGCCGAUGGCGAAGGCAGCCACCUGGUCCACUUCUGACGCUGAGGCGCGAAAGCGUGGGAGCAAACCGGAUUAGAUACCCCCGUAGUCCCUGUCUCUUAUACA
RNAcentral lists this ribosomal RNA (301 nucleotides) under uncultured bacterium. RNAcentral describes it as "partial 16S ribosomal RNA". It matches the Rfam family "Bacterial small subunit ribosomal RNA", at positions 509 to 808 of the family's 1533-position model. The record is from RNAcentral.